GCCUCCUUAGCUCAGUGGUAGAGCGCAUCACUAGUAAUGAUGAGGUCGCGAGUUCAAUUCUCUCAGGAGGCA
Molecule: non-coding RNA, 72 nt
Organism: Xylogone sp. PMI_703
Lineage: Eukaryota; Fungi; Ascomycota; Leotiomycetes
Source: the annotation of a GenBank genome assembly